GCUAACGCCGAGCCAGUCGCCGCGGUAGUUCGUUGUGUGGAAGGUCUAGCCUCGUUUUUUGGGCUUAAUGGGUCUGUAAGUGGCUAGUCAAGUGUUCAGUCAAAGACGGAGGCCUAACUCUAGGAAGGUCGUGUGAACUGGCGGAGUAGAGAUCAGUAGGGUGAGAGAGAAUUUCCGGUGUAGCGGUUAAAUGCGGAGAGCUCGUGAAGAACAUCGAUGGCGAAAGCGCUCUACUGGACUGCAACUGACACUCAGGGACGAAAGCUAUGGGAGCGAAUGAGAUUAGAUACCCUGGUAGUC
RNAcentral lists this ribosomal RNA (300 nucleotides) under uncultured Halorubrum sp. RNAcentral describes it as "bacterial SSU rRNA". It matches the Rfam family "Bacterial small subunit ribosomal RNA", at positions 496 to 795 of the family's 1533-position model. The record is from RNAcentral. Lineage: Archaea; Methanobacteriati; Methanobacteriota; Halobacteria; Halobacteriales; Haloferacaceae.